GAAUUUUGCGCAAUGGGGGAAACCCUGACGCAGCAACGCCAUGUGUGGGAUGAAGCAUUUCGGUGUGUAAACCACUGUCAGUAGGGACUAAACGACAGCUUCGGGCUGUUUUGAAUGUACCUACAGACGAAGCCCCGGCUAACUUCGGUCCCGCCGCCGCGGUAAUACGAGGGGGGCAAAUGUUGUUCGGAAUCACUGGGCGUAAAGGGAGCGUAGGCGGGUUUCUAAGUAAGGUGUUUAAUCCCGGGGCCUAACCCCGGACAGGCACUUUAAACUGGAAGUCUUGAAUAGUGGAGAGGUCAGUGGAAUUGGGGGUGUAGCGGUGGAAUGCGUAGAGAUCCCCAAGAACACCAGUUGCGAAGGCGGCUGACUGGACACAUAUUGACGCUGAGGCUCGAAAGCAUGGGGAGCAAACAGG
This 418-nucleotide ribosomal RNA is filed under the name uncultured bacterium. RNAcentral describes it as "bacterial SSU rRNA". It matches the Rfam family "Bacterial small subunit ribosomal RNA", at positions 359 to 776 of the family's 1533-position model. The record is from RNAcentral.